Molecule: ribosomal RNA, 301 nt
Filed under: uncultured bacterium
Lineage: Bacteria
Description: partial 16S ribosomal RNA
Rfam family: Bacterial small subunit ribosomal RNA
Source: RNAcentral
CAGUAGCCGCGGUAACACAGAGGGUGCAAGCGUUAAUCGGAAUUACUGGGCGUAAAGCGCGCGUAGGUGGUUUGUUAAGUUGGAUGUGAAAUCCCCGGGCUCAACCUGGGAACUGCAUCCAAAACUGGCAAGCUAGAGUAUGGUAGAGGGUGGUGGAAUUUCCUGUGUAGCGGUGAAAUGCGUAGAUAUAGGAAGGAACACCAGUGGCGAAGGCGACCACCUGGACUGAUACUGACACUGAGGUGCGAAAGCGUGGGGAGCAAACAGGAUUAGAGACCCCAGUAGUCCCUGUCUCUUAUAC